UGUUAGAGAAAUGUGAAGAAUCUCCAUUCAGGGAGGUGACAGCUGAGGCCAAGGCCACUUAUCAUUGCAAGGGUACUUGGAAUUGUACUUUUGAAUCUGGCCCCAUAGCAACCUCAAAUACAAACAGAAUUCUGUAACUAAGGAGGAAGCACUCAGGCCAAAGAGAGGGCAACCACAGGCUGCCUGUUGUGGCUGCCAUUCUGAGCUCAGAUAGCUUCAUGGGCUUUUCACUGCUGGCUCUCUCCGAUGCAGACCACCACCUCACGGAGGCCUGCCACCUCAGAAACAGCCUCACAGACACGGUGUUUCUAUGGUGACUCUAGGCCCCAUCAGACUGGCUGUGAAGAUUCACCACAGCAAGGAGGUGCUACGAAUGCUCCAGAGUUGACUUAAGGCACAGGAGAGAACUUCAUAGGCUACACGCAAACCCCUGGCCUCUUUACACCGAAGACGUUGCAAUCUUCUAGGUCCUGGAAUCAGAACUCAGGCUCGAGUCUGAGGGAUGGCUACCCAUGGGGAGAGAAUUUUCCUCCCAUUCCAUCUCAACAGCAAAUCCCUGUCCUAAGCACAGGUGAUGGUAUUAGCCAUCAAGUGUUCCUGAGCUGGCUCAGUGGGCAAAGGUGCUUGCUGCCGUGUCUGAUGGCCAAAGUUGGAUGCCCCAAGUUGGAUGCCCCAAGUCCCACAUGGAAGAAGGAGAGGCUCAACUCCAGCAAACUGACCUUUGACAUCUACAUUCUCGCUGUGGCACAUGUAAAUACAUGCCCUCUUUCAAUAAAUAAGUAAAUAAUAAUAAAAAAAAUUCACAGUA
Long non-coding RNA from Mastomys coucha (southern multimammate mouse), 808 nucleotides. RefSeq lists it as uncharacterized. The record is from RefSeq and is a predicted model, not a curated record. Lineage: Eukaryota; Metazoa; Chordata; Mammalia; Rodentia; Muridae. The transcript has 2 exons.